CCUACGGGAGGCAGCAGUGAGGAAUAUUGGUCAAUGGUCGGGAGACUGAACCAGCCAAGCCGCGUGAGGGAGGAAGGUACAGAGUAUCGUAAACCUCUUUUGUCAGGGAACAAAGACUGGGACGCGUCCCCGGAUGAGUGUACCUGAAGAAAAAGCAUCGGCUACCUCCGUGCCAGCAGCCGCGGUAAUACGGAGGAUGCGAGCGUUAUCCGGAUUUCUUGGGUUUAAGGGGUGCGCAGGCGGUCUGUUAAGUCAGCGGUAAAAGCCCGGGGCUAAACCCCGGGCCGCCGUUGAAACUGGGAGUAUAGAGUUGGAGAGAAGUAUGCGGAAUGCGCGGUGUAGCGGUGAAAUGCAUAGAUAUCGCGCAGAACCCCGAUUGCGAAGGCAGCAUGCCGGCUCCACACUGACGCUGAGGCACGAAAGCGUGGGUAUCGAACAGGAUUAGAUACCCGAGUAGUC
Molecule: ribosomal RNA, 459 nt
Filed under: uncultured bacterium
Lineage: Bacteria
Description: partial 16S ribosomal RNA
Rfam family: Bacterial small subunit ribosomal RNA
Source: RNAcentral